CCUACGGGAGUCAGCAGUGGGGAAUAUUGCACAAUGGGGGAAACCCUGAUGCAGCGACGCCGCGUGAGUGAAGACGUAUUUCGGUAUGUAAAGCUCUAUCAGCAGGGAAGAAAAUGACGGUACCUGAUUAAGAAGCCCCGGCUAACUACGUGCCAGCAGCCGCGGUAAUACGUAGGGGGCAAGCGUUAUCCGGAUUUACUGGGUGUAAAGGGAGCGUAGACGGCAGCACAAGUCUGGAGUGAAAUGCCGGGGCUUAACCCCGGAACUGCUUUGGAAACUGUGCAGCUAGAGGGAAGGAGAGGUAAGUGGAAUUCCUAGUGUAGCGGUGAAAUGCGUAGAUAUUAGGAGGAACACCAGUGGCGAAGGCGGCUUACUGGACUGUAACUGACGUUGAGGCUCGAAAGCGUGGGGAGCAAACAGGAUUAGAUACCCCGGUAGUC
This 440-nucleotide ribosomal RNA is filed under the name uncultured bacterium. RNAcentral describes it as "partial 16S ribosomal RNA". It matches the Rfam family "Bacterial small subunit ribosomal RNA", at positions 338 to 795 of the family's 1533-position model. The record is from RNAcentral.